Molecule: long non-coding RNA, 1050 nt
Organism: Nematostella vectensis (starlet sea anemone)
Lineage: Eukaryota; Metazoa; Cnidaria; Anthozoa; Actiniaria; Edwardsiidae
Exons: 2
Source: RefSeq, a predicted model, not a curated record
CCCAGAAUGCUUCACGCUAGACUUGAAACCAAAACAAAUAGCAAAUAUAUCAUGUAGAGGAUCAAGAGUCUAAUUUCUAUACGAUGUCAAGUGAGCACCGGCAAAUAAUAAGAUAUGUCCAAUGAGUCUUGUUACUCCAUAAAAGGUCAAGACUUUAUAUGCUGUACAAGCAAACUCCAUGAUCUUUGUGAAAACACACGAAAACCUCCCUGUUUUUCUUGCAUUUUUGUGUUUGGUUGAAUAGCAAACGUGUGCUAAAAAUACCAAGGACACUUAUCGCUUAAGUGCAGUGCGCAGACUAAAGAUUUCACUAGCGCAUAAUUUAACGCGCGCAGACAAGGGAUGCGAAAACGUGCCCAUUUGCACGUCUUGCCGAUGAAUAACUCGACAUAUUCACACUUAGAAACAUAGCACCGUAAUCCUUGCUUGUUCCACCUCCAGCCCCUCGAACUUCACAUCAAGUUUUUAACAAAACUAUCACCGAGGAAGUAACACCAUGUUUUUUCAAAGUGCAGCGCGAUUCUCGCGUGUUUUGGCUGGUCAAAACGCCUUUCUCGGAAAACAGACUCUUCGUCCUUCGAUGUUGUUAAACCGACGAGGGAUUUUCUACACUCAGAGAAAGCGACCAUCCACACCCGAGGAAAACAUGGCCAUGGCCAUUGGACUAGUGGCUGCGGGAACUAUGAUUAGCGUAUGUCUGAAGCUUGGUGUUUUCCACAUGAACUAUGGAUUCCACUCAGAAGCGUGGCCAAUGAAGUACGACCAGGAGGAAUGAGCCCCAGUGAAAGCUAAAGGGUUGCAAGAUGUGCAUGCCUCUAAUAUUAAACUGUUUUUAAUAUAUGGAACUAAGUAAAACUGGUGUGAAUAAUUAUAAACUUAGAUUUUGUAAGUUCAGGAGUGUAUGUAUUAUUUUGUUGUUUCAUGGUUGGUGGACGGAAGCAUAGACGAUACCGCAGAUGUGAGAGCUAUGUUUAAUAAGUGAGAGUAUCGCGAGCACUGUCUGGAAAAAAAUGUUGUAAAAGAAAAAGGAAUUAAAACCAGAUAAUUUUA